Small nuclear RNA from Nomascus leucogenys (northern white-cheeked gibbon), 104 nucleotides. NCBI's taxonomy places the organism in Eukaryota, Metazoa, Chordata, Mammalia, Primates, Hylobatidae. The record is from Ensembl.
GUGCUUGCUCUGGCAGCACAUACACUAAAAUCAGAAUGACAGAGAAGGUUACAUGGCUUCUGUGCAGGAUGGAUACACAACUUUGUGAAGCAUUCCAUAUUUUU